RNAcentral lists this unclassified non-coding RNA (202 nucleotides) under Hevea brasiliensis (rubber tree). The record is from RNAcentral. Lineage: Eukaryota; Viridiplantae; Streptophyta; Magnoliopsida; Malpighiales; Euphorbiaceae.
AUGGGUACGAUUUACAAAGCACCUAUCAUACAUGUGCAUUAAGAUUACUGAAUCCAAAACAUCACAACUACGUACAAAUUGGCUGACCAGAAAAAAGGGACCACAGCCACAUUGAACCAAACUCGCCCCAUGUUGGGGCAAGGAUUUGUCCCAUACUAAUUUAUGGAAUAAAAUAUACAGAACAUUGAAUGAGAAGAAAAAA